This 460-nucleotide ribosomal RNA is filed under the name uncultured bacterium. RNAcentral's name for it is "partial 16S ribosomal RNA". It matches the Rfam family "Bacterial small subunit ribosomal RNA", at positions 338 to 795 of the family's 1533-position model. The record is from RNAcentral.
CCUACGGGAGGCAGCAGUGAGGAAUAUUGGUCAAUGGCCGGAAGGCUGAACCAGCCAUGCCGCGUGAAGGUUAGUGCCCUAUGGGCGUUAAACUUCUUUUGUGCGGGAGCAAUAAUGGUCAGGUGUGGCCAGACGAGAGUACCGUACGAAUAAGCAUCGGCUAACUCCGUGCCAGCAGCCGCGGUAAUACGGGGGAUGCAAGCGUGAUCCGGAUUUAUUGGGGUUAAAGGGUGCGUAGGCUGGGAGGUAAGUCAGCGGUGAAAUGCCCCCGCUCAAAGGGGUGAAGUGCCAUUGAUACUGGCUUGCUGGAAUGCGGAUGCCGUAGGAGGAAUGUGUGGUGUAGCGGUGAAAUGCAUAGAUAUCACACAGAACACCGAUUGCGAAGGCAUCUCACGAAUCCGCGAUUGACGCUGAUGCACGAAAGCGUGGGUAUCAAACAGGAUUAGAUACCCGUGUAGUC